UGCCCUGGUCCGGAUAAUAUACCUGUUGAAUUCUAUCAACAUUGUUGGGAUGUUGUAGCCCCGGACUUAUUGGCAUUAUUUGAAUGGUUUUAUGAAGGGAGACUGGAUGUGCAAAGGUUGAAUUAUGGCAUUAUUACCCUUCUACCAAAAUCUGAUGACGCUAGUAAGAUCCAGCAAUAUAGGCCAAUAUGUUUGCUUCGUUGUCCAUACAAACUUAUUACCAAGGUUAUGGACAUUAGGGCCAGUAAGUAUGCUUAUAAACUAUUCAGCAUUCAGCAAAACACAUUCAUCAAAGGGAGGCAUAUAGUAGAUGGCAUAUUAUCUUUGCAUGAAGUUUUGCACCAUACUCAUGUUAAAAAAUAG
This 363-nucleotide ribosomal RNA is filed under the name Triticum aestivum (bread wheat). Its description in RNAcentral is "partial small subunit ribosomal RNA". Lineage: Eukaryota; Viridiplantae; Streptophyta; Magnoliopsida; Poales; Poaceae. The record is from RNAcentral.